UACGUAGGUGGCAAGCGUUGUCCGGAUUUACUGGGCGUAAAGAGCGCGCAGGCGGUCGUUCAAGUCGCGUGUGAAAGCCCCCGGCUCAACUGGGGAGGGUCACGCGAUACUGAUCGACUGGAAGGCAGGAGAGGGUAGUGGAAUUCCCGGUGUAGUGGUGAAAUGCGUAGAUAUCGGGAGGAACACCAGUGGCGAAGGCGACUACCUGGACCAGUACCGACGUUCAGGCACGAAAGCGUGGGGAGCAAACAGG
This 253-nucleotide ribosomal RNA is filed under the name uncultured bacterium. Its description in RNAcentral is "partial 16S ribosomal RNA". It matches the Rfam family "Bacterial small subunit ribosomal RNA", at positions 524 to 776 of the family's 1533-position model. The record is from RNAcentral.